RNAcentral lists this long non-coding RNA (280 nucleotides) under Mustela putorius furo (domestic ferret). RNAcentral describes it as "lncRNA (ENSMPUG00000026708.1)". Lineage: Eukaryota; Metazoa; Chordata; Mammalia; Carnivora; Mustelidae. The record is from RNAcentral.
GGUUAGAGAAGCAGCAGACGUAGGUAGUAUUUUGGAGGAAUGUAACCUGGAGGAAGAGUGACCGAUGGAUUAGAAGAUGAUGCGUCACGUAGGGGCUGUCAUUGCAGGGUACAUCUGAUUCUGAGUUAGACCAUGAGAUCUGGAUAGACCAGAAAAGGAAGGUGGCUGGCAACUGUGCAGUGAACAAAGAAGCAGACUCAGGGACAGGAAGAAGGACCACAGAAGGAGCUUCCAAAACAAACUGGGAUCACAAAGAAAGCAUUCUGAGACUCUGAAGUCA